Molecule: long non-coding RNA, 968 nt
Organism: Zea mays
Lineage: Eukaryota; Viridiplantae; Streptophyta; Magnoliopsida; Poales; Poaceae
Exons: 4
Source: RefSeq, a predicted model, not a curated record
AUCACUUCUAUUAAAAACUAGCAAACCCUACCUCCUCUUAUCCCCUUCUCUUGACGGCGCCACCAUGUCGCCUCCGCCCUCAACCCUAGCCGUAUCGCGCCCUCGCCCUGCCUCCAGCCCCGCGCAGUAUGCUGCUCGCUCCGGGCUCCGGUCAUCUGCCAUGCGUCGUUGGCUACUCGCCUGCUCCCAUGCUCCCUCCGGAUCUGCUGCUCUCGGUGAUUUGGCGCAGCGGCUUUGCGCCUCCACACUUGGUCGCCGGCCUCCUCACCUCCACAAGCCCACGUCGUCGCCGUCUCCUCUUCGCCAUCGCCCCGCUCGCCUCCUGUGCCAACGACCCGACCAACCUCGGCUCCUCCCUCUGCCCCUCCAUCCCAACUCCUGACAUCAAAGUGCACAGCUUCGCUGGCCCCAACGUGGCUCUGCCAAUGCCUCAAGCUCAAACAGCGAUUCUGUUAUGGCUGAAGCAGAACUUGCCUCAAAUGCUGCUGCUGGUGACACGGCGCGCGCAACGCCGGCAAGUCCUCGCUCACAAAUACCAUGGUUGGGACAAAAGUGGCUGCAGUUUCCCGCAAGACAAAUACUACGACUCACGAAAUUUUGGGGGUGCUAACAAAAGGGAACACAUAGAUUGUAUGUCAUAUUAUCAGGUUCAUUUAUUCUUCUGCUGGCAGCCGACUAGGAAAUGAAACCACAUUUUCAACUUUUGACUUAACCAUAUAUAUACUUUCCUUGAUUUUUUUAAACAUAACUAGGGCUCAUGUUAGGGCACCAUGGAUUUCCUUAUAGGGACGUCACAGUUCGUGUGGAGAGUGCCUGGAGCUCAAUUAACCUAUAUGAUUUACUAAUAGUCAUGUUCGAUGUCAAUAGGCAUCUUAAUUUGUUGAUCAGUUUUGCCUAGUCCCAGUACCAUACAAAGAUGUUCAGCUGGAUAUAAACAUUUCUCCACGUCUCUCUUCUGAAUACGUAAG